Molecule: ribosomal RNA, 371 nt
Filed under: uncultured bacterium
Lineage: Bacteria
Description: bacterial SSU rRNA
Rfam family: Bacterial small subunit ribosomal RNA
Source: RNAcentral
GUAGGACCCAAGCGUUAUCCGGAAUUACUGGGCGUAAAGAGUUGCGUAGGUGGUUAUGUAAGCGAAUAGUGAAAUCGUGUGGCUCAACCAUACGGCUGUUAUUCGAACUACAUGACUUGAGUGUGAGAGAGGUAACUGGAAUUUCUAGUGUAGGAGUGAAAUCCGUAGAUAUUAGAAGGAACACCAAUGGCGAAGGCAGGUUACUGGCUCAUUACUGACACUGAGGCACGAAAGCGUGGGUAGCAAACGGGAUUAGAUACCCCGGUAGUCCACGCCGUAAACGAUGCAUGCUAGCUGUGAGAGGCUCGACCCUUUUCGUAGCGAAGCUAACGCGUUAAGCAUGCCGCCUGGGGAGUACGGUCGCAAGAUUA